GAUGAACGCUGACAGAAUGCUUAACACAUGCAAGUCAACUUGAAUUUGGGUUUAUAACUUAGGUUUGGGUGGCGGACGGGUGAGUAACGCGUAAAGAACUUGCCUCACAGCUAGGGACAACAUUUAGAAAUGAAUGCUAAUACCUGAUAUUAUGGUUAUAGGGCAUCCUAUAAUUAUGAAAGCUAAAUGCACUGUGAGAGAGCUUUGCGUCCCAUUAGCUAGUUGGAGAGGUAACAGCUCACCAAGGCGAUGAUGGGUAGCCGGCCUGAGAGGGUAAACGGCCACAAGGGGACUGAGACACGGCCCUUACUCCUACGGGAGGCAGCAGUGGGGAAUAUUGGACAAUGGACCGAGAGUCUGAUCCAGCAAUUCUGUGUGCACGAUGAAGUUUUUCGGAAUGUAAAGUGCUUUCAGUUGGAAGAAAAAAAGACGGU
RNAcentral lists this ribosomal RNA (434 nucleotides) under Fusobacterium sp. oral taxon C10. RNAcentral's name for it is "bacterial SSU rRNA". It matches the Rfam family "Bacterial small subunit ribosomal RNA", at positions 28 to 459 of the family's 1533-position model. Lineage: Bacteria; Fusobacteriati; Fusobacteriota; Fusobacteriia; Fusobacteriales; Fusobacteriaceae. The record is from RNAcentral.